UAGGGAAUCUUCCACAAUGGACGAAAGUCUGAUGGAGCAACGCCGCGUGAGUGAUGAAGGGUUUCGGCUCGUAAAACACUGUUGUAAGAGAAGAAUGACAUUGAGAGUAACUGUUCAAUGUGUGACGGUAUCUUACCAGAAAGGAACGGCUAAAUACGUGCAG
Molecule: ribosomal RNA, 163 nt
Filed under: uncultured bacterium
Lineage: Bacteria
Description: partial 16S rRNA
Rfam family: Bacterial small subunit ribosomal RNA
Source: RNAcentral